CGGCGGUGAACUCUGCAGCUGCUCCUGCGCCUUCUCCAGCUGCAAUGGGCGAAGGGCGCUGGAUGGGGAACAAUUUAUUGCGAUCUUCCCCUUCACAACUGAUCUGAAAGACUGCUAGCAUGUGAGAGAUCAUGAAAAUGGGAGAAGGUGCAGAAGAGAACCACAAACAAUUUGAGGACUGGAGAAAAUGCCUUCCACUGAGACUUAGAGGUCAGUCUUAAGGUGUGUGUUUUUUUGUUUUUUUUUUUGGAUAA
Long non-coding RNA from Trachemys scripta elegans, 254 nucleotides. RefSeq lists it as uncharacterized. The transcript has 3 exons. Lineage: Eukaryota; Metazoa; Chordata; Testudines; Emydidae. The record is from RefSeq and is a predicted model, not a curated record.